RNAcentral lists this ribosomal RNA (409 nucleotides) under Actinomycetes bacterium. RNAcentral's name for it is "Actinobacteria bacterium partial 16S ribosomal RNA". It matches the Rfam family "Bacterial small subunit ribosomal RNA", at positions 355 to 776 of the family's 1533-position model. The record is from RNAcentral. Lineage: Bacteria; Bacillati; Actinomycetota; Actinomycetes.
UGGGGAAUAUUGCACAAUGGGCGCAAGCCUGAUGCAUCGACGCCGCGUGAGGGAUGACGGCCUUCGGGUUGUAAACCUCUUUCAGCUCCGACGAAGCGCAAGUGACGGUAGGAGCAGAAGAAGCACCGGCCAACUACGUGCCAGCAGCCGCGGUAAUACGUAGGGUGCAAGCGUUGUCCGGAAUUACUGGGCGUAAAGAGCUCGUAGGCGGUUUGUCGCGUCGUCUGUGAAAUUCUGCAGCUUAACUGCAGGCGUGCAGGCGAUACGGGCAGACUUGAGUACUACAGGGGAGACUGGAAUUCCUGGUGUAGCGGUGAAAUGCGCAGAUAUAAGGAGGAACACCGGUGGGGAAGGCGGGUCUCUGGGUAGUAACUGACGCUGAGGAGCGAAAGCGUGGGUAGCGAACAGG